AGCGAACGCUGGCGGCAGGCUUAACACAUGCAAGUCGAACGCCCCGCAAGGGGAGUGGCAGACGGGUGAGUAACACGUGGGAACGUACCCUUUGGUUCGGAAUAACUUGGGGAAACUCAAGCUAAUACCGGAUAAGCCCUUACGGGGAAAGGUUUACUGCCGAAGGAUCGGCCCGCGUCUGAUUAGCUAGUUGGUGAGGUAACGGCUCACCAAGGCGACGAUCAGUAGCUGGUCUGAGAGGAUGAUCAGCCACACUGGGACUGAGACACGGCCCAGACUCCUACGGGAGGCAGCAGUGGGGAAUAUUGGACAAUGGGGGCAACCCUGAUCCAGCCAUGCAGCGUGAGUGAUGAAGGCCUUAGGGUUGUAAAGCUCUUUUACCCGGGACGAUAAUGACUGUACCGGGAGAAUAAGCCCCGGCUAACUUCGUGCCAGCCGCCGCGGUAA
This 447-nucleotide ribosomal RNA is filed under the name uncultured bacterium. RNAcentral's name for it is "partial 16S ribosomal RNA". It matches the Rfam family "Bacterial small subunit ribosomal RNA", at positions 29 to 523 of the family's 1533-position model. The record is from RNAcentral.